RNAcentral lists this ribosomal RNA (842 nucleotides) under uncultured bacterium. RNAcentral describes it as "bacterial SSU rRNA". It matches the Rfam family "Bacterial small subunit ribosomal RNA", at positions 32 to 920 of the family's 1533-position model. The record is from RNAcentral.
AGCUGUGGCGGCAGGCUUAACACAUGCAAGUCGAGCGCACCCUUCGGGUCUAGCGGCGGACGGGUUAGUAACGCGUGGGAACGUACCCAGCUCUGCGGAAUAGCCUCUGGAAACGGAGAGUAAUACCGCAUACGCCCUUUGGGGGAAAGAUUUAUCGGAGUUGGAUCGGCCCGCGUUAGAUUAGGUAGUUGGUGGGGUAACGGCCUACCAAGCCUACGAUCUAUAGCUGGUUUGAGAGGAUGAUCAGCAACACUGGGACUGAGACACGGCCCAGACUCCUACGGGAGGCAGCAGUGGGGAAUCUUCGGCAAUGGGCGAAAGCCUGACCGAGCCAUGCCGCGUGAGCGAUGAAGGCCUUAGGGUUGUAAAGCUCUUUCGCCAGGGAUGAUAAUGACAGUACCUGGUAAAGAAACCCCGGCUAACUCCGUGCCAGCAGCCGCGGUAAUACGGAGGGGGUUAGCGUUGUUCGGAAUUACUGGGCGUAAAGCGCGCGUAGGCGGACCAGAAAGUUAGGGGUGAAAUCCCGGGGCUCAACCCCGGAACUGCCUCUAAAACUCCUGGUCUUGAGUUCGAGAGAGGUGAGUGGAAUUCCGAGUGUAGAGGUGAAAUUCGUAGAUAUUCGGAGGAACACCAGUGGCGAAGGCGGCUCACUGGCUCGAUACUGACGCUGAGGUGCGAAAGUGUGGGGAGCAAACAGGAUUAGAUACCCUGGGUAGUCCACACCGUAAACGAUGAAUGCCAGACGUCGGGUAGCAUGCUAUUCGGUGUCACACCUAACGGAUUAAGCAUUCCGCCUGGGGAGUACGGUCGCAAGAUUAAAACUCAAAGGAAUUGACGGAAGG